RNAcentral lists this transfer RNA (72 nucleotides) under Anaerolineae bacterium. Its description in RNAcentral is "tRNA-Arg". It matches the Rfam family "tRNA". From Rfam's summary of the family: Transfer RNA (tRNA) molecules are approximately 80 nucleotides in length. Their secondary structure includes four short double-helical elements and three loops (D, anti-codon, and T loops). The record is from RNAcentral. Lineage: Bacteria; Bacillati; Chloroflexota; Anaerolineae.
ACGCCCAUGGUCCAGUGGAAGGACAUCUCCCUGCGGAGGAGAAGGCCGUUGGUUCGAGUCCAGCCGGGGGUG